UUCCAUGCCACGUGGUUCUUUUCCAACCACAUAACUCCUCCGCACACAUUACUGAUAUCUUCUUCUACUUUCAUAAUUCAAUUUCAAACUCAAGUUGCAUAUAGUCUACCCUCUCCCGUGAACAGUCAAAUUCAAACUCUCUGCGGUGUGCCCCUUUUCUAGGGUUUCAAGCGCGGCAUCACCGCUGGAAAAUCAACUCUCCGAUUCAGUCUUUCUCUCUCGCCUACUCCGAUUCAAUCUUUCUCUCUCGCCGGACCUGGUUUCAAGCCACCGCUCCGAAAUCAAUCCUCCGAUUAAAUCUAACUCUCUCGCCGAAGCUGUUUGUGAGCUAUGAGCAUAUGAGUUUGUGAGCUGUUUAUAUGGUAAUAACAGGGACUACUAUAACAAGGACUAUUAAUGAAUGAUCAAGAAGUAGCCGUGAAACCUUUUUCAAGAGGUUCAAAUCAAGAUGUGAAAAUAGUUGUACGGCUUUUUGAUCUUGCCUUGAAGGUUUACUUUUUUAACUUAACAUUUGUUGCUCUGUUCUAUAACAGGAGUGUCAUAAUGUUAUAGGACUGAAAAAUGUCUUCGUUUUAGAUAUAUAAUUUUGAAAAAAUGUCUCCAUAUGGACGAAUUGAAAUCUUAUGGGAGUGUCUUGGACUCUUGGAUUUGCUUUUUGUAUUUUCAGUUAUUUGAUUAACAUGAAAUAUAUCACACUUGCUUA
This is a long non-coding RNA of Daucus carota subsp. sativus, 703 nucleotides long. RefSeq lists it as uncharacterized. NCBI's taxonomy places the organism in Eukaryota, Viridiplantae, Streptophyta, Magnoliopsida, Apiales, Apiaceae. The record is from RefSeq and is a predicted model, not a curated record. The transcript has 3 exons.